UAUAAUCUGCUCGAAUGUAAAGGUUAUUGGAUAACCGUGGGAAAUCUAGAGCUAAUACAUGUAAUACAGGGUAUGAGCAAUCAUACUCGAUGGCAUUUAUUAAGAAAAUGACCAACCGUAGGUGCAAACUUACGUGGUGAAUCUAGAUAACUGUGCAGAUCGUAUGGCCUUGAGCUGACGACAUUUCGAUUGAAUUUCUGCCCUAUCAACUUUUGUCGGUAGUGUAGUGGACUACCGAGGUUUUUACGGGUGACGGGGGAUCAGGGUUCGAUUCCGGAGAGGGAGCCUGAGAAACGGCUACCACAUCCAAGGAAGGCAGCAGGCGCGCAAAUUACCCAAUCCAGACAAUGGGAGGUGGUGACGAAAAGUACCGGAUGACGAUCAUAGAUUGUCAAUCUGGAAUGGAAUCAAUUUAAGCAAUUGAUUGAGUAACUACUGGAGGGCAAGUCUGGUGCCAGCAGCCGCGGUAAUUCCAGCUCCAGUAGCGUAUCCCAAAGUUGCUGCGCUUAAAACGCUCGUAGUUGGAUCACAAACUAUUCACCGGUGGGUUGUGAGGUUUAUGUCAAAUUUGGCGAGUCAGUUGUGUGUCCUCAUGCAGCUGGUGAGUUGAAUGGUGUAGCUUUAUGCCGUAAGCUGGUGGAUAGUAAUUGCACGUGAGGAUAGGCAUUGACCUUGAGUGAGUUGAUGCUUGUGUCUCACGGAGUGUGCCUUGAGUAAAUCAGAGUGCUUAAAGCAGGCUUUACGCUUGAAUGUUAUAGCAUGGAACGAACAAUCGUGUAUGGUGUAUACUGGCAAUGAUUAGCUGAACAUCGUUUGGCGUCAUCAGUAUACGACACCGACCACCAGUUACGGAUGUUGGUUCCGUAUUGGGGUAUUGAUUAAGAGGAGCAGUUGGGGGCAUUGGUAUUUAGCAGCGAGAGGUGAAAUUCUUGGACCUGCUAACGACUAACAAAUGCGAAGGCAUUUGUCCAGACUGUAUCCGUUAAUCAAGAACGAUAGUGAGAGGUUCGAAGAUGAUCAGAGACCGUCGUAGUUCUCACUGUAAACUAUGCCGACCCGGGAUCAGUUUGGAGCUAUGUUCCAUGCUCGGAGUUGGUCCCCCUGGGAAACCUAAAGUUUUUCGGUUGCGGGGGGAGUAUGGUCGCAAGGCUGAAACUUAAAGGAAUUGACGGAAGGGCACCACCAGGGGUGGAGCCUGCGGCUUAAUUUGACUCAACACGGGACAACUUACCUGGUCCGAACAUCCGAAGGAUACACAGACUGAUAGAUCUUUGUUGAUGGGGUGAUGAGUGGUGCAUGGCCGUUCUUAGUUCGUGGAGUGAUCUGUCAGGCCUAUCCCGGUAACGAACGAGACUACGAUCACCAGUUGACAAACCAGAGAAGGCAGUGGCUGUUAGGUGUUGGCAACAGUGCCUAGCUUAAGCUGUCGUAGGCAUUAUUGACGACCCAUUGCAGAACUUGCUUUCGGGUGGGUAAUGUAGUGGUAGUUGGUAAUCCCUUUGGUUGUGUAGUGUAUUGUUUGACAGUAUAUUGCAUCAUGGUGAGACAGCGGAAUAUAUUACAAAAUUCGAGGAAGUGUAGCUAUAACAGG
This 1591-nucleotide ribosomal RNA is filed under the name Myxobolus exiguus. Its description in RNAcentral is "SSU rRNA". It matches the Rfam family "Eukaryotic small subunit ribosomal RNA", at positions 111 to 1460 of the family's 1831-position model. The record is from RNAcentral. Lineage: Eukaryota; Metazoa; Cnidaria; Myxozoa; Bivalvulida; Myxobolidae.